UACGUAGGGUGCAAGCGUUGUUCGGAAUCAUUGGGCGUAAAGCGCGUGUAGGUGGCUAGUUAAGUUGGGUGUGAAAUCCCUGGGCUCAACCGAGGAAGUGCACUCAAAACUGGCUGGCUAGAAGAUAGUAGAGGAUGGUGGAAUUCCAAGUGUAGAGGUGAAAUUCGUAGAUAUUUGGAGGAAUACCGGCGGCGAAGGCGGCCAUCUGGGCUAUUCUUGACACUGAGACGCGAAAGCGUGGGUAGCAAACAGG
RNAcentral lists this ribosomal RNA (253 nucleotides) under uncultured bacterium. RNAcentral describes it as "partial 16S ribosomal RNA". It matches the Rfam family "Bacterial small subunit ribosomal RNA", at positions 524 to 776 of the family's 1533-position model. The record is from RNAcentral.